GGGGGAUAAAUUAAUAAUAAAGGGUUAAUAAAAGAAAUUUUUAUAUUAAAAAUAUAUGGGGGUUAAAGUAUUUUUAAAAAAAAAAAUUUGUAAAUUUAUAGUUUAAUAGGUAUUGUAGGGGAAAUUUGAAAAAAAAAUUAUAUUGAGUUUAGUGUAAAGUAAAUUUAAUUUAUUGUAUCUUGGGUAUCAGAGUUUAUUAAUUAAAAAUUUUUAAUUAAAAAAUUCUCGAAUUUGUAAGAGUUAAUUAAUUAAUAAAGUUAAUGUUGAAUAAUUAUUUUAAAUAAUUAAUUAGAAAUGAAAUGUUAAUCGAUUAUAAAUAUAUCUAGUUUUUUUAGAAAGAAAUUUAAUUUUAAAUUUAAAUAAUUUAAUAAUUAAUUAAUUAAUUAUUAAAAUUUAAAAUUUAAUAUAUUAGGGGAUAAGCUUUAAAUUAAAAAUUUAUAAUAAUUAAUUUUUAAUUAAAAUUUUUAAAAUUUAUAUUAUUUAAAAAUUAUAAUUUAUUAUAAAAAAUUUUAAUUAAAUUAAAAUUUAAAAAUAAAAUUUAAAUUUUUAUAAAAAAUUUAUUUUUAAUAAAAUAAAAUUAGAUAUAAUGAUAAAAUUAGUAUAAUAAUUUAAAAAUUAAAUAAAUUUAGUAAAAAUUAAAUUAAAGGAAUUCGGCAAAUAUUUAUAUUCACUUGUUUAUCAAAAACAUGUCUUUUUGGGGGAUAAUUUAAAGUCUAAUCUGCCCACUGAUGAGUAUUAAAGGGCUGCAGUAUAUUGACUGUACAAAGGUAGCAUAAUCAUUAGUCUUUUAAUUGAAGACUUGUAUGAACGAUUUGAUGAAAUAUAAACUGUCUCUAAUUUAUUAGUAAAAAUUAAUAUUUUAGUUAAAAAGCUAAAAUAAAAUUAAAAGACGAGAAGACCCUAUAGAGUUUUAUAUUUGUUUAUAUUAUGAUAAAAUAGAUAGUUAAUUAUAAAAAUAUAAUUAAAUAUUGUAUUGGGGUGAUAAAAAAAUUAAAUAAACUUUUUUUUUUAUUAACAUAGAUAAAUGAUUAAAUGAUCCAUUAUUUAUGAUUAAAAGAAAAAAUUACCUUAGGGAUAACAGCGUAAUAUUUUUUUUUAGUACGAAUAAAAAAAAAAGUUUGCGACCUCGAUGUUGGAUUAAGAUAAAAAUUAAAUGCAAAAGUUUAAAAUUUUGAUCUGUUCGAUCAUUAAAAUCUUACAUGAUCUGAGUUCAAACCGGUGUGAGCCAGGUUGGUUUCUAUCUUUAGUAACUUAUAAUAUUUUAGUACGAAAGGAUCAAAUAUUAAAAAUAAUUUUAGCUUAGAUGAAUAUUAUUAAUAUUAAUAUA
RNAcentral lists this ribosomal RNA (1327 nucleotides) under Sephisa princeps. RNAcentral's name for it is "16S ribosomal RNA". Lineage: Eukaryota; Metazoa; Arthropoda; Insecta; Lepidoptera; Nymphalidae. The record is from RNAcentral.